CCAGACUCCUACGGGAGGCAGCAGUGGGGAAUAUUGCACAAUGGGGGGAACCCUGAUGCAGCGACGCCGCGUGAAGGAAGAAGUAUCUCGGUAUGUAAACUUCUAUCAGCAGGGAAGAAAGAGGACGGUACCUGACUAAGAAGCCCCGGCUAACUACGUGCCAGCAGCCGCGGUAAUACGUAGGGGGCGAGCGUUAUCCGGAUUUACUGGGUGUAAAGGGAGCGUAGACGGCAGUGCAAGUCUGGAGUGAAAGCCCGGGGCCCAACCCCGGAACUGCUCUGGAAACUGUGCGGCUAGAGUACUGGAGGGGCAGGCGGAAUUCCUAGUGUAGCGGUGAAAUGCGUAGAUAUUAGGAGGAACACCAGUGGCGAAGGCGGCCUGCUGGACAGUAACUGACGUUGAGGCUCGAAAGCGUGGGGAGCAAACAGGAUUAGAUACCCGGGUAAAA
Molecule: ribosomal RNA, 448 nt
Filed under: uncultured bacterium
Lineage: Bacteria
Description: bacterial SSU rRNA
Rfam family: Bacterial small subunit ribosomal RNA
Source: RNAcentral